GUGGCAAACACUCACCCAUGAACGUCAUCGCAUAUGAAACCCUGAGAUAAAGUGAUCUCUCGACUCUUCAUGCUUCUGCUCUCCACUGGAUUCCCAUAGCAACAACUGGCCUUCCAGUACUGGGUGUCACCAUUUUGGAGAAACUCAAUUGGUUGGAUUGAAACGGACCAAAGCGACGGAUCUUGCCCCUAUUUUUAUCAACGCCAACUGCAAGGAGAGAGACAUGUUGGGGAAAUGGUUUCUGGCAGAAGUGAUUGACCAGGAGAGCGGUAGACCCGCUUCUUCGUAGCAGACGACUGCCGGUAUCAACUUUUAAAUCACGGUACGUAAGUAGACUGAAUCAAAAAUGCGCAAAGAUGUAUGUACAAGUAAAAUUCAAUUAUAUAAUGCAAAGCCUUACGUACCAGGGGCGUCGUUCUUGCAAUUUUCUUGGAAUCACGGUCUUGACUAGGCCAAACGUUAGCGAUGAAACAUCUAAUUUUCGCGUAAAUAAUGAUGCCGGUGCGAAAGUCGAAGCUGAUUUUGCAGAGCAUGAGGAUAUAUACUCGCAGUAUAGAAUGAAUGAAAUUCAUAGAAAAAUGAAAGAAUGAAAUUAAAGUAGUCCGUGAAUUUUUUUUUUGUCACGAAAUCUCCGCUUCGCUAUCCUCCAUUUUGGAGAAAGUUUGGUGUCGUGGCGAUCCCCACGGAAAACGGUAACCAAUGAAAUGCGCCCUAGUUUGAUUGAUAGGUCGAGCAUCUUUUUUAGGCUCCUCCUAAUGGCCAGACUCCCUUUGGCAUACACGGCACUGGCAUUUAGCUGUUUCACAAUACAGAUAACGCAUUUGGUAGAGACACCCCAUAGAACCCCUCCCGAAAUGCUUUGCAAUGAUCGUCAGCCGGGGCAUAAUUCGUGGCUUUACAUCGCGCGAGAGGUUCUCCUUGUCGAGAAACCAUAGCAAGAAACUAACAUGCUAAAAGUUUUUGAAGUAAAAAGUUUAAAAUUUCAAGGUUCUCCUUCGCAUUCCUCCUCAGGUCGUGGUCGUCGUCCCAGCGUUUCGCGUUUCUUUGUGAGGGGGUAGUGCUGCCGUGGCGCUGGCAGGUGUUACAAACGAGUUGUACUUCGUGCCCGAGUGUGACAGUCUUCUGCUCGGCGGACGAUGACGCAAGCAAUGCAAGCUGCUACCUCCACGUCAAUCACUGAAAUGCUGCCGUGCCUGUUCACCGAGUAUUUAUUUACACAAAAGCCCUUACAGGGCAUUACAUGGGGGGGUACAUAGAGGCUGGUACAACACAGAAGUGCUUAGAUACUGCGGUGCGAAAUUGAUGAGGGCCAGUAAGUUGGACUAUGUGAUGAGGGAGGCUAUUCCAUGAAAUGGCCGUUUGCGGAAAAAAGGAGUUCAUAAAACGAGACUUACAGCUUUGUGUGGAUUGUCAAUGCGUGGAAAAACUGUUCGCGUUGGUGUUAUGUAAUGUCUACAAAGAGAGGGUUUGUGAUAGAACCUGUGCAAUAAGCAUAGUGCCACAAUGAACCUACGAUGUUGCAGACAUAGAAUACCUAAUGAUGAUUGCAUCACAGGCUUGACCUAGCAAUCACACGCACGGCAGGGUCUGAGGAGCUCGUGCAACUCACUAGAUGGAAUCACGUUCCUCACUGAGACCGUACCAAGCGCGCAAAAAGAAGAUUGAGGUUUGGACGGUCGAAUGGGAUGUUCCUGGACAACGGACGGCGAUAGGAACUGGGGGCCGGACACAACUUUUUCAAUAACAAGUUCACCAGUUUAUAACAAAGAUAACAAUUUUUGCACAACAAUGAUCACAAUUGACAGAGCUUAUAUAUAUACAAGCCGAACGAGGUAGAUGUUACAAAUCAAAUCAACGAUUGUUGCGAAUGCUAUGGCCAGUUCGAUAGAGAAGGGGUGUGAUGGUGUGGCGUCCCCGAGUCCGAUGAAAGGGGUCCGGAGUUGAGCCGGCGCCCAAGUUGGUGCACGUUGUCGGGGCUCUCUCGCGUAGCGGUGACCACUCACGCAACACACGGCACACAUCUUGGCGGCUGUCCUCGGUGCACGCAUUUUCACGCCACGGCCCCGCACAUAACCGAUCACAAGUCCUGCUGAUGUCCGACUGCCCAGCGUUUUUCGUCGUCUUCCCCUCUUUCUCGCCACUUGUUGAAACGCUUCCGAAGCAUUUGACACUGCAGUUGGAGGAAGGCCACUCUCUGAGAACAAGGGGAGCCGCCCGAAAUGAGUUUUUACAUCUGUGAGUUGCAACUUGAAAGGCGCCUAUCCCCGCUUCUGAGACGGAGAAGGGUCGCAUAUUGCCUAGUGUUCUCGGAACCACGGGUCUCCCCGCUGACCUUGGUUAACAAACCACUCGAGCUCUGUGACAAUUACAUUGUACGCAAUUCUACUGUUGUAAAUAAAGACUACUUCUUCUUCUGA
Long non-coding RNA from Ornithodoros turicata, 2417 nucleotides. RefSeq lists it as uncharacterized. Lineage: Eukaryota; Metazoa; Arthropoda; Arachnida; Ixodida; Argasidae. The transcript has 2 exons. The record is from RefSeq and is a predicted model, not a curated record.